Molecule: transfer RNA, 74 nt
Filed under: Arthrobacter sp.
Lineage: Bacteria; Bacillati; Actinomycetota; Actinomycetes; Micrococcales; Micrococcaceae
Also listed under: 7 other names
Description: tRNA-Pro
Rfam family: tRNA
About the family: Transfer RNA (tRNA) molecules are approximately 80 nucleotides in length. Their secondary structure includes four short double-helical elements and three loops (D, anti-codon, and T loops).
Source: RNAcentral
CGGGUUGUGGCGCAGCUUGGUAGCGCACCUCACUGGGGGUGAGGGGGUCGCAGGUUCAAAUCCUGUCAACCCGA